GCACUGCUGAGGAGUCCCACAACAGGACGAAACGGGUGUCCAGUGU
This 46-nucleotide non-coding RNA is filed under the name Schistosoma mansoni. The record is from RNAcentral. Lineage: Eukaryota; Metazoa; Platyhelminthes; Trematoda; Strigeidida; Schistosomatidae.